GACGAACGCUGGCGGCGUGCUUAACACAUGCAAGUCGAACGGAAAGGCCCUGCUUUUGUGGGGUGCUCGAGUGGCGAACGGGUGAGUAACACGUGAGUAACCUGCCCUUGACUUUGGGAUAACUUCAGGAAACUGGGGCUAAUACCGGAUAGGAGCUCCUGCUGCAUGGUGGGGUGUGGAAAGUUUCGGCGGUUGGGGAUGGACUCGCGGCUUAUCAGCUUGUUGGUGGGGUAGUGGCUUACCAAGGCGUUGACGGGUAGCCGGCCUGAGAGGGUGACCGGCCACAUUGGGACUGAGAUACGGCCCCGACUCCUACGGGAGGCAGCCGUGGGGAAUAUUGCACAAUGGGCGGAAGCCUGAUGCAGCAACGCCGCGUGCGGGAUGACGGCCUUUGGGUUGUAAACCGCUUUCGCCUGUGACGAAGCGUGAGUGACGGUAAUGUGUAGAGAAGCACCGGCUAACUACGUG
RNAcentral lists this ribosomal RNA (468 nucleotides) under uncultured bacterium. Its description in RNAcentral is "partial 16S ribosomal RNA". It matches the Rfam family "Bacterial small subunit ribosomal RNA", at positions 28 to 507 of the family's 1533-position model. The record is from RNAcentral.